This is a long non-coding RNA of Triticum dicoccoides, 1259 nucleotides long. RefSeq lists it as uncharacterized. The record is from RefSeq and is a predicted model, not a curated record. The transcript has 5 exons. NCBI's taxonomy places the organism in Eukaryota, Viridiplantae, Streptophyta, Magnoliopsida, Poales, Poaceae.
GCCGCCGCCGCCGCCGCCGAUGCCUCGUCCGCCUCCGCCUCCACCUCCAUGCGACGGCCCCGCCCGCGGUCUUCUCCCCCAGCUCGUCUCGUCUCCUCUCCUCUCCGGUCACCGCGCCGCCGUGCUUGAGCUGCGGCGAGCGGCAGAGGUCCGCCGCCGGCUGGCUCAAGCUCCAUCCUUGUCCACAAUCAAGCACCCCCACCGCCACCGCGCCCUCCUGGCCGCCUGCCCACGGCGCCGCAAGUCAAGUCCGCAGGAUCCCCUCCAAAAGCGUCGGAUUCGGAUGUGCAGUUUGAUGAGACGAUCCCAUCUCCAUCUCAUCUUCUCGUGUCAAGGACGCCAUGGAAGAGGUUUCGCUUCUCUUCAUUCAUGAGCAGGAUCAGGAUCAGGAUCUUUCUUGAACAAACUUAAUUAUUGGCAUGCAGAUUCAUGAAUCAAUUUAAUUUUUGUUUGUGCUGUAGGCAGCGUCAUCCCAUCUCAUCUGCUUGUGUGAAGGACAGGGGCCCUGGAGGAGCUGCUCCCCUGCGGGUUCAGUGGCUGCUCCGACACUGACGGCAUGGAAGGUCCUCGCUUGCCCUUACCUCUCCCUGUUCGGUUCCGUUCAUGAGCAGAUUUAAUUUUUGGCAGAUUCACGAAUCAAUUUUGUCCCACAAGUUGGAGCUUUAUGUGGUUGCGACUAGGGAUUAUUGUAAUGCUAUUCGCUUUCACUGGAUGGACGUAUGAAUGAAAUUACAUGUGUUAGUCAAAUGAACAAAUUAGAUGACCCCCCAUGCCUACAAGCCUUCUUGGAUUAAAAUUAAAUGGUUUAUUGAUGUCUAGUUUCUGCAUGUUCUGGUUGGUUGUGAAACACAUGCGGUUUUUCUAGGCCGAUUCAGUUUUUUGGUUCUGUCUUGUUCUAGCCUUCUAGGUCGAUUCAGUUUUUCAUUUUCUCUCUUUAUGAUUUAAACACGAACUGCAGAUCCAGUAUCUGUUUGAUCAUCCAUGUGCCAUAUAUAUGGAGCUGUCUGUAGCAUUUGAUCACUACUACUACUAGCUGCAGCAACUAGUAGUGCCUUAACAAUGGGCUCUCUCUGGAAAACAAGUCUUCUUGAGGAGAAAUCUAACUGUACUAAGUACCAGCACAUGUUAUCAGAAUGGUAGCUUGUAUUGCUGCAGAGCCCAUUUCUAUCCUGGAAAGCAUGGAUUCUGUAGGAUAUGUAAAAUGGGACGUCAAACCUGAGAACUUUCAUCUCAGCCAGCCUGGAACUCCUCAAGAAAAG